UACGUAGGGGGCAAGCGUUAUCCGGAUUUACUGGGUGUAAAGGGAGCGUAGACGGCAGGGCAAGUCUGGAGUAAAAGGCAGGGGCCCAACCCCUGGACUGCUCUGGAAACUGUCCGGCUGGAGUGCAGGAGAGGUAAGUGGAAUUCCUAGUGUAGCGGUGAAAUGCGUAGAUAUUAGGAGGAACACCAGUGGCGAAGGCGGCUUACUGGACUGUAACUGACGUUGAGGCUCGAAAGCGUGGGGAGCAAACAGG
RNAcentral lists this ribosomal RNA (253 nucleotides) under uncultured bacterium. RNAcentral's name for it is "partial 16S ribosomal RNA". It matches the Rfam family "Bacterial small subunit ribosomal RNA", at positions 524 to 776 of the family's 1533-position model. The record is from RNAcentral.